This 428-nucleotide ribosomal RNA is filed under the name uncultured bacterium. Its description in RNAcentral is "bacterial SSU rRNA". It matches the Rfam family "Bacterial small subunit ribosomal RNA", at positions 355 to 775 of the family's 1533-position model. The record is from RNAcentral.
UAGGGAAUCUUCGGCAUUGGACGAAAGUCUGACCGAGCAACGCCGCGUGAGCGAAGAAGGCCUUCGGGUCGUAAAGCUCUGUUGUUAGAGAAGAACAUGGGUGAGAGUAACUGUUCACCCCUUGACGGUAUCUAACCAGAAAGCCACGGCUAACUACGUGCCAGCAGCCGCGGUAAUACGUAGGUGGCAAGCGUUGUCCGGAAUUAUUGGGCGUAAAGCGCGCGCAGGCGGUCUCUUAAGUCUGAUGUGAAAGCCCCCGGCUCAACCGGGGAGGGUCAGUGGAAACUGGGAGACUUGAGGACAGAAGAGGAGAGUGGAAUUCCAGGUGUAGCGGUGAAAUGCGUAGAUAUUUGGAGGAACACCAGUGGCGAAGGCGGCUCUCUGGUCUGUUACUGACGCUGAGGCGCGAAAGCGUGGGGAGCAAACAG